Long non-coding RNA from Galeopterus variegatus (Sunda flying lemur), 750 nucleotides. RefSeq lists it as uncharacterized. The record is from RefSeq and is a predicted model, not a curated record. NCBI's taxonomy places the organism in Eukaryota, Metazoa, Chordata, Mammalia, Dermoptera, Cynocephalidae. The transcript is spliced from 5 exons.
GCUGCGGGCCAAGGCCCGGGAGCAGCGGGCCGGGGUUGGCGCGAUGCUGUUCCCGGGAAGGAUUGUUGACUACCGGUGAGGAAGGUGAAGCACGGAGUUGCCUUUCUGGGCCCCCGGCGCUCCCUAUGUACACCUCCCUGGGCUCGGGUCCGGUCGCCGCUUUGCCCGCUUCAGUACCACCCUCAACUCUCGGGUCCUGGGGCUCCGGCAGCGGCAGGGGCUGUGUCCGGCAGGAGAGGAAGCGCACAGGCGGCGCCCGUGCUUCUGGCCGCGGGGCGAGCGUCUAGCAGGUCCAAGGGUAGCCAAGGAUGGCUGCAGCUUCAUAUGAUCAGUUGUUAAAGCAAGUUGAGGCACUGAAGAUGGAGAACUCAAAUCUUCGACAAGAGCUAGAAGAUAAUUCCAAUCAUCUUACAAAACUGGAAACUGAGGCAUCUAAUAUGAAGGAAGUACUUAAACAACUACAAGGAAGUAUUGAAGAUGAAGCUAUGGCUUCUUCUGGACAAAUUGAUUUAUUAGAGCGUCUUAAAGAACUUAACUUAGAUAGUAAUUUCCCUGGAGUGAAACUACGAUCAAAAAUGUCCCUCCGUUCUUAUGGAAGCCGAGAAGGAUCUGUAUCAAGUCGUUCAGGAGAGUGCAGUCCUGUUCCUAUGGGCUCAUUUCCGAGAAGAGGGUUUGCAAAUGGAAGCAGAGAAAGUAGUGGAUAUUUAGAAGAACUUGAGAAAGAGAGAUCAUUACUUCUUGCUGAUCUUG